This 405-nucleotide ribosomal RNA is filed under the name uncultured bacterium. RNAcentral describes it as "partial 16S ribosomal RNA". It matches the Rfam family "Bacterial small subunit ribosomal RNA", at positions 28 to 526 of the family's 1533-position model. The record is from RNAcentral.
GAUGAACGCUGGCGGCGUGCCUAAUACAUGCAAGUCGAGCGAAGCGGGGACGGGUGAGUAACACGUGGAUAAACUCCUCUAAGACUGGGAUAACUUCGGGAAACCGGAGCUAAAUCGGAUACUUAUAGUUGCAUCCUCCAUGCAUUAGUUAGUGGGUAAGGUAACGGCUUACCAAGGCAACGAUGCCUAGCCGUCCUGACAGGAUGAUCGGCCACACUGGAACUGAGACACGGUCCGUACUCCUACGGGAGGCAGCAGUAGGGAAUCUCCCGCAAUGGGCGAAAGCCUGACGGAGCAACGCCGCAUGAGUGAUGAAGGUUUUCGGAUCGUAAAACACUGUUAUUAGGGAAGCGUUACCGAAUCAGAAAGCCACGGCUAACUCCGUGCCAGCAGCCGCGGUAAUUC